CUAAAUGCAAAGAAAGAGAGUAGUAAGAUAACCACUGCCUAAUAGGGAGGGAAUGUCAUAGACUGAAAGCAUUCCUUAGGUGAGAGUAUUUGAAUUCGCUCUGGAGCAGACGCUGGAACAUAGGAAAGUAAAUUUCUUAUUAAAGUGUUACGGAUGAAGAUUCGUUAUGAUAAUGAAGUGUAUAGGCUUCUUUUUGAUGCUUAUAAAUAAGGGUGGUACCGCGAGCCAUCGUCCCUUUC
RNAcentral lists this non-coding RNA (239 nucleotides) under Alkalihalobacillus alcalophilus. RNAcentral's name for it is "Bacillus alcalophilus T-box sequence". It matches the Rfam family "T-box leader". From Rfam's summary of the family: Uncharged tRNA acts as the effector for transcription antitermination of genes in the T-box leader family. T-boxes are found upstream of many aminoacyl-tRNA synthetase genes and some amino acid biosynthetic genes usually in Gram-positive bacteria. Lineage: Bacteria; Bacillati; Bacillota; Bacilli; Caryophanales; Bacillaceae. The record is from RNAcentral.